Molecule: ribosomal RNA, 492 nt
Filed under: uncultured bacterium
Lineage: Bacteria
Description: partial 16S ribosomal RNA
Rfam family: Bacterial small subunit ribosomal RNA
Source: RNAcentral
AGUGAACGCUGGCGGUAGGCCUAACACAUGCAAGUCGAACGGCAGCACAGUAGUAGCUUGCUCUUACGGGUGGCGAGUGGCGGACGGGUGAUGAAUACAUCGGAAUCUACUUUUUCGUGGGGGAGAACGUAGGGAAACAUACGCUAAUACCGCAUACGACCUACGGGUGGAAGCAGGGGAUCUUCGGCCCUUGCGCGAUUGAAUGAGCCGAUGUCGGAUUAGCUAGUUGGCGGGGUAAAGGCCCACCAAGGCGACGAUCCGUAGCUGGUCUGAGAGGAUGAUCAGCCACACUGGAACUGAGACACGGUCCAGACUCCUACGGGAGGCAGCAGUGGGGAAUAUUGGACAAUGGGCGCAAGCCUGAUCCAGCCAUACCGCGUGGGUGAAGAAGGCCUUCGGGUUGUAAAGCCCUUUUGUUGGGAAAGAAAAGCAGCAGGUUAAUACCCCGCUGUUCUGACGGUACCCAAAGAAUAAGCACCGGCUAACUUCGUG